This is a long non-coding RNA of Amphiprion ocellaris (clown anemonefish), 980 nucleotides long. NCBI's taxonomy places the organism in Eukaryota, Metazoa, Chordata, Actinopteri, Pomacentridae. The record is from Ensembl.
CAGUCGUGGAUAGGUGCUACUGGUCAGCUGCACCUGGUGAGGUGUGUCCAGGUGACACUGACCCGACGUGUUACUAUAAAAGCAGCUCCUCAUCAGCCACUAACCACACCAUGAACUGCCCUCGCUAGUAGAAGCUCUCUGAACUGACAGAACUGAUUUGAAGUGAAGACAGGACCGGACAUGGGGGGAAAGAGCAGCAUCCAGCUCCCACUCUUAUUCCUUCUCAUUGCUGCUCUCUGCUUAGAAGCACAACCACGAUAUCAAAUUUACCCUAUGUUUGAUCUGUGGCUGAACUGGACAGAGGCCAGAUUGUACUGCCAGAGACAUUACACUGACAUGGUAAGGUGGAACACAGCAUCCAGAGCUGAUCUGGUUGACCUUAUGAGCUCAAAUGGUGUCACCAUUAUCUGGACUGGUGACCGUGGAGAUCCUCAGGGAGCAUCAGACAAUUUCACCAACGGGGAAUCAGAAGAGAUUCUCAGAGAACUCUGCUUCGCUUUUGGACAGGACAUAGAACAAGGAUGGCCCUAUGCUGAGUGCCAAAACGAGUUUCCCUUUAUCUGCUAUGAAGAAGACAACCUGGUGAUCAUAAAGGAGAACAAGACGUGGGAGGACGCCCUGAAACACUGCAGAGAAAUGAAUGCAUCAUGUGUUGACGAUAAGGGGCACCAGACGCACUGCUACAACCUGCUGAGCCUGCCAGAUCCGUCUGACUACGACUUUGUCAUGGACAAGCUCUACAGAGCCACCACUGAUGAGGUUUGGACAGGCCUCCGCUUCCUGGGAGGAGAGUGGUGGUGGUUAAAUGGAGAGACGGUAGGAGACCAUGAGAUGCUGCCAGAGUGUCCAUCCCAGUGGAAGCACUGUGGGAGCAUUUCCAAAUAUGUCUCAAACCGCUCCGUGAUCAGGGACUGUUCAGAAAGACGAAAUUUCAUGUGUGAGCAUAAAAAAAAAGCCGUAAAUGGUGACAAUGAUGGGAU